This is a long non-coding RNA of Oryzias melastigma (Indian medaka), 250 nucleotides long. RefSeq lists it as uncharacterized. The record is from RefSeq and is a predicted model, not a curated record. Lineage: Eukaryota; Metazoa; Chordata; Actinopteri; Beloniformes; Adrianichthyidae. The transcript has 3 exons.
GUUCUCUAGAUCCAUGGUUCUCCAGAUGGUGAGAUCUCGUAUGCACCUCCAGCUAUUUGGUCGUGGUCAUGGUGGAGAGGUCGCAGUCUGAUUGUUUAAGGGUGUGGACAGGUGUCCAACAGGAGCCAUUAAUACAGGAACGCUGAGGCCUUCCUCACUGAUCACCUGAGGAUCACCUGAGGAUCACCUGAUGAUUACCUGAUGAUCACCUGAUGAUCAAUGGAGUCAUAAAUAGACAAUGUAAAAUGUA